This 543-nucleotide ribosomal RNA is filed under the name Shigella sonnei. RNAcentral's name for it is "bacterial SSU rRNA". It matches the Rfam family "Bacterial small subunit ribosomal RNA", at positions 983 to 1526 of the family's 1533-position model. Lineage: Bacteria; Pseudomonadati; Pseudomonadota; Gammaproteobacteria; Enterobacterales; Enterobacteriaceae. The record is from RNAcentral.
GACAUCCACAGAACUUUCCAGAGAUGGAUUGGUGCCUUCGGGAACUGUGAGACAGGUGCUGCAUGGCUGUCGUCAGCUCGUGUUGUGAAAUGUUGGGUUAAGUCCCGCAACGAGCGCAACCCUUAUCCUUUGUUGCCAGCGGUCCGGCCGGGAACUCAAAGGAGACUGCCAGUGAUAAACUGGAGGAAGGUGGGGAUGACGUCAAGUCAUCAUGGCCCUUACGACCAGGGCUACACACGUGCUACAAUGGCGCAUACAAAGAGAAGCGACCUCGCGAGAGCAAGCGGACCUCAUAAAGUGCGUCGUAGUCCGGAUUGGAGUCUGCAACUCGACUCCAUGAAGUCGGAAUCGCUAGUAAUCGUGGAUCAGAAUGCCACGGUGAAUACGUUCCCGGGCCUUGUACACACCGCCCGUCACACCAUGGGAGUGGGUUGCAAAAGAAGUAGGUAGCUUAACCUUCGGGAGGGCGCUUACCACUUUGUGAUUCAUGACUGGGGUGAAGUCGUAACAAGGUAACCGUAGGGGAACCUGCGGUUGGAUCAC